RNAcentral lists this unclassified non-coding RNA (1593 nucleotides) under Hevea brasiliensis (rubber tree). The record is from RNAcentral. Lineage: Eukaryota; Viridiplantae; Streptophyta; Magnoliopsida; Malpighiales; Euphorbiaceae.
UGUUCCAAGGUUAACUUUCUGGUUAUCAAAUUCGGUGGUGCUGAGAGCAACUAUAAGCAAAUUCCAGCGGCAGCUGUGUUUGCCCCGUACUACUGAAACUAUUCUUGGAGAGGCUGUUUCCAAGGACAAGAAGAAGAUAUCUUCUCCACUUAAGUGGGAGACUUUUUCCAGCAAUGUUACAAAGGAUGAUUUUUGUGAAAGUUUUGGUAAUUGGGAGGACCCUCGUACAUUUACGAGAGCACUUCAGAGAACAGAGGCCUGGAUAUUCUCCCUUAUCGUUGAAUCUAUUUGGUGGCAGACUCUCACUCCACAUAUGCAAUCUGGUGCUGCAAAAGAAAUCCGCGAAAGUAUGAAUUCUUUGAUAAGCAAAGUUUAUAGAAGGACAGCAACUUCAGAUAAUGAAGAGCAUGGAAGUUAUUCUUCAGAGCUUUGGAAGAAAGCCUUCAAGGAUGCAUGUGAAAGAAUUUGCCCUGUUAGAGCUGGAGGGCACGAGUGUGGUUGUUUGCGUUUUCUAUCUAAACUGAUAAUGGAACAAUGUGUGGCUAGACUGGAUGUAGCUAUGUUCAAUGCAAUCCUUCGAGAGUCUGCUGAUGAGAUUCCUUCAGAUCCUAUAUCAGACCCCAUUAGUGAUGCCGAUGUUCUUCCUAUUCCAGCUGGACAGGCUAGUUUUGGGGCGGGGGCACAACUGAAAAAUACGGUUGGGAAUUGGUCCAGAUGGCUUACUGACCUUUUCGACAUUGAUGAUGGGGAAUCACUAAAAAAUAGUAAUGAAGAGAAUGGGAGUAAAGAACUUGACACCUCUGCAAAGUCUUUCUACCUUCUAAAUGCAUUGAGUGAUCUUAUGAUGCUUCCAAAGGAUAUGCUUUUAAGCAGGACAAUGAGAAAAGAGGUAUGUCCGGCACUUGGUCCUUUGCUAAUAAGAAGGGUUCUUAAUAUAUUUGUUCCAGAUGAGUUUUGUUGUGAUUCAAUACCUGAAGCGGUAUUUGAAGUUCUCUCAGAGGAACCUUCUGAGGCUGAGGGUGAUUCUGUUACAAACUAUCCGUGCACAGCAGCUCCUGUGGCUUAUAUGCCACCUCCAAUAGCUUCAGUAGCUGGUAUGUUGGGCGAUGGGUAUAGCUAUUCUAUGUUGACACGAAGUGCAUCUUCAGUGCUCAAAAAGUCAUACACAAGUGAUGAGGAACUUGAGCUAUUGGAUUCACCGUUGAAUUUUAUCAUUAGUGAUGGCACUGAAGCUUCACAUUCUUUAGUAAAACAGAGUUCCAUGCCAAAAAAUAGUGGAAGGCAGAGGUACCAACUCCUUCGGGAGGUUUGGAUUAACAGUGAGUAAAAUGAGUAGUUGUGGUGUUAACAGAUUUCUUGGUUUUCAUCUAAAGGAAGAUAGGGAUCGAUGAUGAGAGUAUGAUUUGUGGAUAUGAGAAGCACUUGUUAUGCAUCUUCACGUGUAGAUAUUGUAGGAGUUAGGUGUCUGUAGAAAUAUUUGAUAAACUUGAAUGGGAAAAGGUGUUGUUCUUUUUGUGAUUGAGUUAUUGCAGUUGUUCUACUGCUUCAUAAUGUAUAGUAGUUUCCAUAGUUACUUCACCAGUAUAAACUCAA